AUGGACAGCAGUGGUGUCUCAGAGCAGGAGGAUUUGGUGCUGUUCCAUUACCACACAGGCCAGAGUGAUGAUUCUGAUAUUUGGGAUAAUACAGCAUUGAUAAAAGCUUAUGAUAAAGCUGCGGCUUCAUUUAAACAUGCUCUAAAGAAUGGUGACAUUUAUGAGUGAAACUUCAGAUAAGUCAAAAAACACACCUUUAAAAAAAACCUGCUAAGAAUAAAAGCCAAAAAAGGAAUACUGCAGCUCCCUUGAAACAGUGGAAAGUUGGUGACAGAUGUUCUGCCAUUUGGUCAGAAGACAGCUGCAUUUACCCAUACCAUUGCUUCAGUUGACUUUAAGAGAGAAACCUGUGUUAUGGUUUAUACUGGAUAUGGAAAUAGGGAGGACCAAAACCUGUCUGAUCUACUUUCCCCAACCUCUGGAGUAACUAAUAACAUCGAACAGAAUGCUCAAGAAAAUGAAAAUGAAAGUCAAGUUUCAACAGAUAAAAGUGAGAACGCCAAGUCUCCUGGAAAUAAGCCAGAUAACAUCAAGUCAAAAACUAUUCCAUGGAACUCUUUUCUCCCUCCACCACCCCCCAUGCCUGGGUUAGGCCUGGGACCAGGAAAGCCAGGUCUAAAAUUCAAUGGCCCACCACCAUCACCACCUCUCUUCCUGUCAUGCUGGCUGCCUCUAUCUCCUUCUGAACCACCAAUAAUUCCCCCACCACCUCCCAUAUGUCCAGAUUGUCUUGAUGAUGCUGAUGCUUUGGGAAGUAAUUUAAUCUCUUGGUGCAUGAGCAGCUAUCAUACUGGCUAUUAUAUAGGUUUCAGACAAAGUCAAAAAGAAGGAAGGUGCUCACAUUCCAGUUAA
Carlito syrichta (Philippine tarsier) is the source of this 852-nucleotide RNA transcript. It is a transcript of the gene named survival motor neuron protein-like, with no coding region annotated. The record is from RefSeq and is a predicted model, not a curated record. Lineage: Eukaryota; Metazoa; Chordata; Mammalia; Primates; Tarsiidae. The transcript has a single exon.